AACAUGGCUAUCCAAAAAUACCGCAGGUAUUUAAAAUUAUAAAGAUAUUAUAAAUAUUGAUUGAUAUUGUUUCCUGUAUAGAGUUUUCUUUUUAGGGAAUUUCUAGGCUUAAAUAAAGCACUUGAGCAAAAGCCAAACCUCACGCUGCUUUUCUUUCCCAGGUUGUUAUCAGUUGGCAGUUCUUUCAAUGGAAUAUUUGUUGGCAGUUCUUUUAAUGGCUAAGAAUUUGCGCAUGGAUUUUUUUAGAUGGCACGAUGAAUGCCCAUGGUUUUUCAGAUGGCACGAUGAAUUUGGCAUAGAUGGACGACUUACGGAAAAGCAGGUGCUGCCGGAAGACAAUAGGCUGUAUUAUGCAAACAAUAGGUUAAAGAAGAGGCACUGCAUUUCAUGGUUAUAUAUGAGUUGCGGAAGAAGAUUGCAUUGCACGGCCAGUAUACUGUAUAUACGCAUUAAAUGUUCAUGCCAUAUCCAAUUAGUGUCGGUUAAUUUUCAAAACGAUAGGGUCGAUACAGUCGCUUGGAAAUUUCAUUAUCAAUUUGUUUAUUCUUUCUAUUAAUUAUAGAAGAAGUGUGCAUUGCAUGGUCAGUAUACCAUUCAUAUGUACCCACUAAAAGUUCGUGCCUUCUCCAAUUAUUGGUUUCGGUUAGUUGUCAAAACAAUAGCGCUGGCGCACUCAAUUUGCAACAAAACGAUAGUGAAAAUUGGUAGUCUGUCAUUCGUGAAUAGCAUUUAACAGUAGCAAAGGUGAUGCUGAUGAUGACAAGCUAUUAUUAAGUAUUUGAUUUUUUUUUAU
Long non-coding RNA from Papaver somniferum (opium poppy), 793 nucleotides. RefSeq lists it as uncharacterized. The record is from RefSeq and is a predicted model, not a curated record. NCBI's taxonomy places the organism in Eukaryota, Viridiplantae, Streptophyta, Magnoliopsida, Ranunculales, Papaveraceae. The transcript has 4 exons.